UACGUAGGGACCAAGCGUUGUUCGGAUUUACUGGGCGUAAAGGGCGCGUAGGCGGCCAACUAAGUCAGACGUGAAAUCCCUCGGCUUAACCGGGGAACUGCAUCUGAUACUGGAUGGCUUGAGUUCGGGAGAGGGAUGCGGAAUUCCAGGUGUAGCGGUGAAAUGCGUAGAUAUCAGGAGGAAUACCCAUAGCGAAGGCAGCUCGCUGGGACGGUACUGACGCUGAGGCGCGAAAGCGUGGGGAGCGAACAGG
Molecule: ribosomal RNA, 253 nt
Filed under: uncultured bacterium
Lineage: Bacteria
Description: partial 16S ribosomal RNA
Rfam family: Bacterial small subunit ribosomal RNA
Source: RNAcentral